This 451-nucleotide ribosomal RNA is filed under the name uncultured bacterium. RNAcentral describes it as "bacterial SSU rRNA". It matches the Rfam family "Bacterial small subunit ribosomal RNA", at positions 29 to 524 of the family's 1533-position model. The record is from RNAcentral.
AGCGAACGCUGGCGGCAGGCUUAACACAUGCAAGUCGAACGGGCACUUCGGUGCUAGUGGCAGACGGGUGAGUAACGCGUGGGAACGUGCCUUUCGGUUCGGAAUAAUCCAGGGAAACUUGGACUAAUACCGGAUACGCCCUUCGGGGAAAGAUUUAUCGCCGAAAGAUCGGCCCGCGUCUGAUUAGCUAGUUGGUGAGGUAAAGGCUCACCAAGGCGACGAUCAGUAGCUGGUCUGAGAGGAUGAUCAGCCACACUGGGACUGAGACACGGCCCAGACUCCUACGGGAGGCAGCAGUGGGGAAUAUUGGACAAUGGGCGAAAGCCUGAUCCAGCCAUGCCGCGUGAGUGAUGAAGGCCUUAGGGUUGUAAAGGCUCUUUUGUCCGGGAAGAGUAAUGACUGUAACCGGAGAAGAAGCCCCGGCUAACUUCGUGCCAGCAGCCGCGGUAAU